UGGGGAAUUUUGCGCAAUGGGGGAAACCCUGAUGCAGCGACGCCGCGUGAUUUAGAAGGCCUUCGGGUUGUAAAAAUCUUUUGUAUGGGAAGAAAAUGACAGUACCAUACGAAUAAGGACCGGCUAAUUACGUGCCAGCAGCCGCGGUAAUACGUAAGGUCCGAGCGUUGUCCGGAAUCAUUGGGCGUAAAGGGUACGUAGGCGGAUAAGCAAGUUAGAAGUGAAAUCCUAUAGCUCAACUAUAGUAAGCUUUUAAAACUGCUCAUCUUGAGGUAUGGAAGGGAAAGUGGAAUUCCUAGUGUAGCGGUGAAAUGCGCAGAUAUUAGGAGGAAUACCGGUGGCGAAGGCGACUUUCUGGCCAUAUACUGACGCUGAGGUACGAAAGCGUGGGUAGCAAACAGG
RNAcentral lists this ribosomal RNA (402 nucleotides) under Verrucomicrobiota bacterium. RNAcentral describes it as "Verrucomicrobia bacterium partial 16S ribosomal RNA". It matches the Rfam family "Bacterial small subunit ribosomal RNA", at positions 355 to 776 of the family's 1533-position model. Lineage: Bacteria; Pseudomonadati; Verrucomicrobiota. The record is from RNAcentral.